AUUGAACGCUGGCGGCAGGCCUAACACAUGCGAGUCGAGCGGAUGAAGGGAGCUUGCUCCUGGAUUCAGCGGCGGACGGGUGAGUAAUGCCUAGGAAUCUGCCUGGUAGUGGGGGAUAACGUCCGGAAACGGGCGCUAAUACCGCAUACGUCCUGAGGGAGAAGGUGGGGGAUCUUCGGACCUCACGCUAUCAGAUGAGCCUAGGUCGGAUUAGCUAGUUGGUGGGGUAAAGGCCUACCAAGGCGACGAUCCGUAACUGGUCUGAGAGGAUGAUCAGUCACACUGGAACUGAGACACGGUCCAGACUCCUACGGGAGGCAGCAGUGGGGAAUAUUGGACAAUGGGCGAAAGCCUGAUCCAGCCAUGCCGCGUGUGUGAAGAAGGUCUUCGGAUUGUAAAGCACUUUAAGUUGGGAGGAAGGGCAGUAAGUUAAUACCUUGCUGUUUUGACGUUACCAACAGAAUAAGCACCGGCUAACUUCGUG
Molecule: ribosomal RNA, 484 nt
Filed under: uncultured bacterium
Lineage: Bacteria
Description: partial 16S ribosomal RNA
Rfam family: Bacterial small subunit ribosomal RNA
Source: RNAcentral